This 226-nucleotide unclassified non-coding RNA is filed under the name uncultured Entolomataceae. RNAcentral's name for it is "sequence contains ITS2". The record is from RNAcentral. Lineage: Eukaryota; Fungi; Basidiomycota; Agaricomycetes; Agaricales; Entolomataceae.
AAUUCUCAACCUUUCGAGCUUUUGUUUAAAGCUUCGUUAGGCUUGGAUUUUGGGAGUUUGCUGGCUCCAUCGAGAGUCAGCUCUUCUUAAAUAUAUUAGCAAGAUUAAUCGCUAAAUUGCCGUUGAUAUGAUAAUUAUCUAUAUCACUGGUUUAUUAGUGUUUUCCCCUUAGAAGGAAAAUAAUCUGGCUUCUAAUCGUCUUUCGAGACAAAUGUUAUUGAAUCAU